This 382-nucleotide ribosomal RNA is filed under the name uncultured eukaryote. RNAcentral's name for it is "partial 18S ribosomal RNA". It matches the Rfam family "Eukaryotic small subunit ribosomal RNA", at positions 592 to 976 of the family's 1831-position model. The record is from RNAcentral.
CAAUAGCGUAUAUUUAAGUUGUUGCAGUUAAAAAGCUCGUAGUUGGACUUCUGCGGGUGGCGGCCGGUCGUGCUCGAAACGGGCGUGAACUCGGCGUGCUGCCCGCAUCUUUGGGGAGAUUGUGCGUGGCAUUAAGUUGUCGUGCAUGGGAUUCUCAUCAUUUACUGUGAAAAAAUUAGAGUGUUUAAAGCAGGCCUUUGCCUUGAAUACAUUAGCAUGGAAUAAUAAGAUAGGACCGUUGUCUAUUUUGUUGGUUUACAGAUGUCGGUAAUGAUUAAUAGGGAUAGUUGGGGGUAUUCGUAUUCAGUUGUCAGAGGUGAAAUUCUUGGAUUUUCGGAAGACGCACGACUGCGAAAGCAUUUACCAAGGAUGUUUUCAUUAA